CCCUUAGAUGCCCUGGGCGGCCCGCGCGCUACAAUGUCAGCUACUGAAGGUUAAUGCUUUGAAAGAGAGCGCGCUCUCCUUUUAAUUGCUCGCAUGCUGGGAUAAAUGAAUGCAAUUUUGUUUUGAACGAGGAAUUCCUAGUAGCCAUGUUUCACUAGAAGAUGGCGAAUGCGUCCCUGCCCUUUGUACACACCGCCCGUCGCUCCUACCGAUGAGCGUUUUGGCGAAGACGGUUUGAGUAGCUGCGUAAUUUCGUGUUGUUGACUCCGGCAGUUUGAGCCUUCACGUUUAGAGGAAGGAGAAGUCGUAACA
This 312-nucleotide ribosomal RNA is filed under the name uncultured eukaryote. RNAcentral's name for it is "partial 18S ribosomal RNA". It matches the Rfam family "Eukaryotic small subunit ribosomal RNA", at positions 1470 to 1796 of the family's 1831-position model. The record is from RNAcentral.